UGACUGCUGGGGCCCAUUGUGAAGCAAGUAUGGUAACAUAUUGAGUUUUAGUUCUUAUAUGAUUUUAUUAGUAUCUUACAACAGCUAGUAAUACGAUUGUAUUAUCAUUAGAUGCAUCAAUCUGUUAAGCAUGAAACGCGCUGUUGCUUUUGUGUAAGUCUGAUGUGUUAAUUAGGGUUAUUCCUAGUUUACACCAAUAAGACAGUUGCAGUUGUCCACUUUACGUUGUAAGAUGUUUGAGAUUUCUAUUUUAACCAAAUGAUUUAGCAGUUGGUAAUUGAAAUGGUUGCUUUUUGGAGGUCGGAGGUGAUGAUGUUAUGUACCUAGGGUAGGGUCAUGGACCUAUCUAGGAUACCAUACCCAAGGACAUCCUUAGACGAAGCUACCUUCCAGUCGACCAAGAGGGACUCCACUCGACCGGCUAGAAGACACUCGACCAUGAAGACUCACUCGACCACCAGGAGUUUAGAAUCUACUCUGUAUCCAAACGGUCUGUAAUUAAGUAGUCUUAAUGGUCAUGAUGACACUUUAUGUAGGGCGUUACCAGUAACGCCCAGCCUUAAUGUACUUUAACCCUCUGCUAUGUGGGUUGGCUGGGGUCCUGGUGUCCUCUAUAUAAGCCACCCCCUCCACUGGUAGAAGGGUUCGCACCCCUAUAACUCAUAUACACAUAAACCAGUCGACCGCCUCCGGGCUCCGAGACGUAGGGCUAUUACUUCCUCAGAGAAGGGCCUGAACUCGUUAAACACUCGUGUGUACAACUACUCCAUAGUUAGGAUCUUGCCUCUCCAUACCUACCCCCCAUUCUACUGUCAGACUUAGAACCACGACAGUUGGCGCCCACCGUGGGGCAGGUGUCUUAGCGACUUUUUGAAGAAGUUGCAAUUUGUCCGAUUGCCUUCAUCAUGGUUUCCGGCGGAGCUCUGGUCGAGGGCCGCGAGAUCCGUCUUGGUGCGCUCGCUUUCAUCGCCGACAACUCCGCUUGGCUCCAGGAGGCACCACUCGACAUCGACGCGCUCCCCGUCCACGGGGCGACGCACUUUCGGGCGUGUGUCCGCGGCGUCCUGCUACGGCAGCCGUCGACCCCAUACCGGUCGACUCCUGUGUCAUCCUCCCUCCCUGUCUCCCGCCAGCGCAAGCGCUCCGGUCAGUCGAGGCUCCAGCGAUGGGUGAGACACGCAGUGGCUCGCCAAUCGGCCACCACCCAAGUCGCGACAAUUGAGCCCAACGAAUCUCUCUACGGCAUGUUCGACCUGUCAACCAGCUCCGUAGAGACUGCAUCCGAGUGCGAUAGCAGUGAUCCAGCGGCGGAAGUCCUGAUGGUCAACGGGCCUCGUAGCCCUCCUGGUUUCCCGCGCAACGACGGGAUGGACGAUGGGGGCGACCCAGCUCAGGCCCACGAAAAGUAUCAGCCCGAGCCGCUCACUUCUCAGCAGAGGGAAGAACUUCGCCGCCGGAACAUGGAUGCCCUGCAUACUCCCAUUGCAGGAGAAACCCCUGAGGCUCGUGCCCUGGAAGAGGCGCGUUUGGCCAACUUGGCUGAACGCACUCGACUGGAGAACCUCCAGCGAGCACUCGACGAGCGUGCGCGUCAAUGAGUACCCGACUCCAGCCGACGUCAGCUCUUUCCGCAACCGACUCAGGUAUAUCGAACCCCGAUUCAGAAUUUGGCAGCUGCAGCCCGUAUAGCGGAGUCAAUUCAGCCCUCUCAGUCGGAGGCUGGAAGAGGCUUGAUGCAGAUCAGAGAUUUGCUUCGGGCGGCAGGAGAUCAAAAUUCAGUUGUGUCACAGUCGCGCAACAGGAUUUACAGUCGAUCCGUCGCCGCAAAUACUGUUCACUCGGCUCACAGUCCAAGAUCGCCUCCGAGGCGCGUGGGACGUGAAGGCCGGCGGGACCACUAUGAUGGUCGAUUUGAUCGUGAUGACAGGCGUUGAGUGCCCACUCCACCCCCGAGAAGUGGGUCUAACGCCCAUCGGCAGCAAGAUGACAGACGCCAGCUCAGUGUUGGGCGGAGAGCUCCAGUCGACCCCAGAGAGCCAGGAUUUGACGCAAGAUCCAUCAUUGUGCAAGGUUUGGUCGACCGGAACAGAGCUCGUAGAUGUGGCCAUGACAGAGAUGUGCCCACAAGCAGCCGAGUCCAUGUUUCAGGUCCAGAAUGCUUUAGCAGAGCCAUCAGAGCCGCAGUGAUACCCCCCAACUUCAGGUUGGCGACUGGAGUGAGUAAGUUCACUGGAGAGUCUAAGCCUGAAACUUGGCUUGAAGACUACCGAGUGGCUGUUCAGAUUGGUGGCGGUAAUGAUGAGGUGGCCAUGAAGCAUUUGCCACUUAUGCUAGAGGGUUCGGCCAGGGCGUGGUUGAAUCAGUUGGCUCCUAGCAGCAUUUACACCUGGGAAGAUCUUUCCCGAGUGUUCGUUAGGACGUUCGAGGGAACUUGCAAGCGACCGGCCGGACUGACAGAGCUGCAAGUUUGCGUACAAAAGUCGAGUGAAACUCUGAGAGAUUACAUCCAGAGAUGGAUCACUUUGCAUCAUACUGUAGAGAAUGUGUCAGACCAUCAAGCGGUCUGCGCCUUCAAGGAUGGUGUCAAGAACAGAGAGUUGAGCCUGAAGUUUGGUCGAACUGGAGAUAUGACCCUGAGUCAGAUGAUGGAAAUAGCCACCAAGUACGCCAAUGGCGAAGAAGAGGACCGACUCCGGAGUGGCAAGUACAAGCCGAGUCAGUCGGAGAAAGGAAACUCCAGUCAGAAGCAGAAGCGGAAGGCCGAGCCAGCUGCUCCUGGAGAGGCUCUGGCCGUGACUCAGGGCAAAUUCAAAGGGAAGCCCAAAGGAUCUUGGAACCCCAAGAAGGUAAAAGAUAAGGAAGGUAAUGAAGUGAUGGAUCUACCGUGUCAUAUCCACACGAAGAAAGACGAAGAGGGUAACUUCAUCUACCCAAAGCAUACCACUCGCCAGUGUCGGCUCUUAAUCCAGCAGUUUCAAGGGAAACAGCCAAAGGACAAAGAGAAGGAGUCGGACAAGGCUGAGGACAAGGAGGAUAGUGAUGGAGGGUACCCUCAUGUCAACUCCACUCUGAUGAUUUUUGCUGAUGUAGAGAGCAAAAGUCGACUGAAAGUGAUCAAUCGUGAGGUCAAUAUGGUCGCCCCGGCGACACCAAGCUAUCUGAGAUGGUCGCAAACUCCCAUCACUUUCGACCAGUCUGAUCACCCCACUCACAUUGCCACCCCUGGGAGGCAAGCGCUGGUGGUCGACCCAGUCGUCGAAGGCACUCGACUGACGAAGGUACUGAUGGAUGGCGGCAGUGGAUUGAAUAUACUGUAUGCAGAGACGCUCAAGGGAAUGGGCAUUCCGAUGUCCAGGCUCAGUUCCAGCAACAUGAGUUUUCACGGAGUCAUCCCUGGAAAGAAGGCUGAGUCACUCGGCCAAAUAGCUCUGGAUGUAGUGUUCGGCGAUUCGAAGCAUUUCCGCAAAGAGAAGCUGACAUUUGAAGUCGUGGAUUUCCGAAGCGCCUACCAUGCUAUUUUGGGAAGACCAGCCUAUGCCCGCUUCAUGGCUCGACCAUGUUAUGUGUACCUCAAAUUAAAGAUGCCUGGCCCCAAAGGCGUGAUCACUAUCACUAGCAGCCAGAAGAAGGCAGAAGAGUGUUUCCAGAAAGGCUCAAAGAUUGCGGAUGACCAGAUAACAGUGGUAGAGCUGGAGGAAUACAAGAAGAAUGCAGAUCCGAGUGAUUUGCUGCGGGCCAAGAAGCCCGCCACAGAGUCAGCAUUUCAGUCGUCUGGGGAGACGAAGCCAGUUCAUAUCCGCCCGACUGACCCCAAUGCAGCACCGACCCAUAUUUCCACAACACUCGACUCUAAAUAGGAAGAAGCGCUCAUCCAGUUCCUCCGUGAGAACUGGGAUAUCUUUGCAUGGAAGCCAGCUGACAUGCCGGGUGUUCCCAGGGGGCUGGCUGAGCAUCGCCUUAGAGUCGACUCAAAAGCGAAACCUGUUAAAGAACAUCUUCGACGGUCCGCCGUUCAGAAGAAAAAAACCAUUGGCGAGGAGGUGGCUUGACUCCUUGCAGCAGAGUUUAUCCGAGAGAUAUACCACUCCGAGUGGCUCGCCAAUGUCGUCAUGGUUCCCAAGAAGGACAACUCACUUCGCAUGUGCAUUGAUUUCAAACAUAUCAAUCGGGCCUGCCCGAAAGAUCAUUUUCCUCUCCCUCGCAUCGACCAAAUUGUUGACUCGACCGCAGGGUGCGAGAGAUUGUCUUUUUUAGAUGCUUAUCCGGGUAUCAUCAGAUCCGUCUGUAUGGACCUGACGAAAUCAAAACAGCUUUCAUCACUCCAUUCGGGUGCUUCUGCUAUAUCACCAUGCCAUUCGGCCUCAAGAAUGCUGGAGCCACGUUCAUGAGAAUGAUUCAAAAGUGUUUACUCACUCAAAUCAGUCGGAAUGUGGAAGCGUACAUGGAUGAUAUCGUGGUCAAGUCGCGAAAGGGUUCCAACCUAUUGACUGACCUAGCUGAAACAUUUGCCAAUCUCAGAAGGUAUGAUAUCAAGCUCAAUCCAUCGAAGUGCACAUUCGGAGUACCUGGCGGAAAGUUACUCGGUUUUCUCGUUUCAGAACGAGGAAUCGAUGCUAACCCAGAAAAAGUUGGCACCAUACUCCGAAUGAAACGCCCUGUGCGUGUGCACGACGUCCAGAAGCUUACUGGAUGCUUGGCUGCUUUAAGUCGAUUCAUCUCUCGCCUCGGUGAAAAGGCAUUGCCCCUUUACCGACUGAUGAAGAAGGCAAACAAGUUCGAGUGGACUCCAUAAGCUGAUGCAGCGUUUGCCGAGUUAAAAACUCUGCUCUCCACCCAGCCGGUGCUUGCUGCUCCAAUCAGCAAAGAGCCUCUGUUGCUUUAUAUUGCAGCCACAGGACAAGUCGUCAGUACAGUACUUACGGUCGAGCGGGAAGAAGAAGGGAAAGCCUUCAAAGUUCAGCGCCCAGUGUAUUAUCUCUCUGAAGUUUUGACCCCAUCGAAGCAAAGAUAUCCUCAUUAUCAGAAGCUCGUAUAUGGGAUCUACAUGACCAUGAAGAAGGUUGCUCAUUAUUUCUCUGGUCAUGACAUUACAGUCGUCAGCGACGCACCAUUGUCAGAGAUUCUGCACAACAAAGAUGCAACUGGUCGAGUGGCUAAGUGGGCGAUUGAACUCCUUCCCCUUGAUGUCAAAUUCGAGGCAAAGAAAGCCAUUAAGUCCCAGGCUAUAGCAGAUUUCCUUGUCGAGUGGAUUGAGCAACAGCAGCCGACUCAAGUUCACUCGGAGCAUUGGACCAUGUUCUUUGAUGGCUCUAAGAUGUUAAAUGGUUCUGGUGCUGGGGUUGUUUUGGUUUCCCCCCGAGGAGACAAGCUCUGAUAUGUGCUCCAGAUCCACUUUGAUUCCUCCAACAAUGAAGCAGAAUAUGAAGCACUCUUGUAUGGGUUGCGCAUGGCCAUUUCACUCGGCGUCCGUCGCCUUAUGGUCUAUGGCAACUCAGAUUUGGUGGUCAAUCAGGUGAUGAAGGAGUGGGACGUUAGAAGCCCAGCCAUGACUGGAUACUGCAAUGCAGUGAGGAAGCUCGAAAAGAAGUUCGAAGGGUUAGAGCUCCACCACAUACCCCGACUGAAAAAUCAAGCAACUGAUGAUUUGGCGAAGAUAGGAUCCAAGAGAGAAGCCAUCCCCAGUGAUGUGUUCUUGGAACAUAUCCACACUCCGUUAGUCGUACAAGAUCCUUUCACCGACGAAGCUCCGCAACCUAAGAGUGUUACGGAUCCGACUGAGGUUGAAGUCCCAGCAGUGGUCGACCUGAUCAUGGAAGUUUUAGUGAUCACUCCCGAUUGGACAAUACCGUAUAUUGCGUAUAUCUUGAGGAAAGAACUCCCGGAGGACAAAGAAGAGGCUCGACAGAUCGUCCGUCGAUCUAAGGCCUUUACCGUGAUAAAGGGACAGUUGUAUAGAGAAAGCGCGACUGGAGUUGGUCAUAAAUGCAUAACACCGGAGGAAGGUCGAAUAAUCCUUGAUGACAUCCACUCGGGGACCUGUGGCCAUCACGCGUCCUCUCGGACCAUCGUGGCCAAAGCAUACCGAGCCGGAUUUUAUUGGCCAAGAGCGAAUGAAAUGGCGAAGGAGAUAGUCGACAAGUGCGAGGGAUGUCAAUUUUACUCCAAUAUGUCACACAAGCCCGCGUCAGCUUUGAAGACUAUACCACUCGUCUGGCCCUUUGCAGUAUGGGGUUUGGAUAUGGUCGGUCCUUUGAGAACAGGCAGAAGCGGUUUUACCCAUGUGCUGGUAGCAGUCAACAAGUUCACUAAGUGGAUCGAAGCUAAACCCAUCAAGAACCUCGAUGCCGGUACUGCUGUCAGCUUCAUCAGAGAAUUGAUAUUCAGAUAUGGAGUCCCGCACAGCAUCAUCACUGACAAUGGAUCAAACUUCGACUCCGAAGAGUUCAGAGCCUUCUGCGCGUCUCAAGGCACACGAGUCGACUAUGCUUCAGUCGCUCAUCCUCAGUCGAAUGGACAGGCAGAACGAGCCAACGGUUUGAUUCUCAAAGGAUUGAAACCCCGUUUGAUGCGUGAUCUUAAGCAUGCGGCUGGUGCAUGGGUCGACGAACUUCCCUUGGUGCUUUGGGGGUUAAGGACCACGCCCAACCGGUCGACUGGAAGAACUCCAUUCUUCUUGGUCUAUGGAGCUGAAGCAGUCUUGCCGAGUGACCUUCUCCAUAAUGCUCCCCGGGUCGAGCUCUACACCGAAGCUGAAGCAGAACAAGCGCGGCAAGAUGCAGUCGACCUUUUAGAGGAAUAAAGGGAGAUGGCUUUGAUCAGAUCGACCAUUUACCAACAAGACUUGCGUUGCUUCCACGCCAAAAACGUGAAGAGUCAAGCCUUCCAGGAAGGAGAUUUGGUUCUCCGAGUGGAUCAGCAGAAACCACACAAGCUUGCUCCUUCUUGGGAAGGUCCCUUCAUCAUCACCAAGGUUCUCCACAAUAGAGCAUACCGUCUUUACAAUGUCGAGCAUCAGAUCGACGAGCCCUGAGCUUGGAACGCGGAGCUUCUCCGCCCCUUUUACACUUAACUAUUCACUCGGAUGAGUUGUAAUAAAAGUACUUCUGUAGUUUAUUUAUCAAAGACAAGAGCUUUAUAAUUUUCCCAGUAAUCGUUAUUUCUUUUGUCCACUCAAAACAAUCCCCCAGUGGGUGGCUGUGACGCCCUCGAUUCAAUCGUACACUAAUCAUACACGCAAAUGUGUACGAUCAAGAUCAAGGACUCACGUGAAGAUAUCACAACACAACUCUAGACACAAAUUAAAAUAAUACAAGCUUUAUAUUACAAGCCAGGGGCCUCGAGGGCUCGAAUACAUAAGCUCGAAAACACAAAAGUCAGCAGAAGCAACAAUAUCUGAGUACAGACAUGAGUUAAACAAGUUUGCCUUAAAAAGGCUAGCCCAAAAGCAACAUUGAUCGAAAAGGCAAGGCCUCCUGCCUAGGAGCCUCCUAACUACUCCUGGUCGUCAGCGGUCUCCACCACGUGGUAGUAGGCGCCCUCGGGGUAGUAGCAGUCGUCAAAGGUCGCAUCUGGCUCCUGGACUCCGUCAUCUGGUUGCGUCAUCCGAGAAGAAUCGAAAAGGGGAAAAAUAGGGAGCAAAGCAACCGUGAGUACUCAUCCAAAGUACUCGCAAGCAAGGAUCUACACUACAGAUGCAACAUUAUCAAAGGAAGGCUGUCUAUGUGGACUGGGCUGCAGAAAUGCCAGAAUAGAGAGAAGGCCUAGUCCUAUCGAAGACUAACAUCUUCUGGAAACCACCAUCUUGCAGCAACAGGAGGGAGUAGAGUAGCAUAAAGUAAGGUAGUAGUAGUGUUAUCAACCUCGGCCAGAGAUCCUUUCUCGACUCCCUGCGAGAAAGCAAUCCCAGAGCCAUACUAUCCAAUUGUCAUCACAAUCCAAUUCUCAUCAACAUCCAAUUCUCAUCACAAGUAUCCAGUUCUAGUUGUAUCGAUCGGGAUACAACUCCAAGUGUCCGUUACCGUAGGACAGGCUAUCGAUAGAUGUCUUCUUCCCUGCAGGGGUGCACCAACUUACCCACCACGCUCGCUUAACUCCGGCCGGACACACUUUCCAGGGUCAUGCCCGGCCUCGGCCAAACAAUACGCCGCAACCCGACCUAGACUUAACAGAGAGGUCAGCACGCCGGACUAAACCUAUGCCCCCAGGGGUCAUGGGCCAUCUCCCCGGAAACUCCUGCACGUUGCGUACGCGGCCGGUGAGCAGACCUAGCUACCUCCUUCAACAAGGCAGGCGCUUACGUAGUCCAACCUGGCGCGCGCCACUCAGUCGCUGACGUCUAUUAAGCUUCGGCUGAUGUAUACGACGCAGAACGCCCAUACUAUGCCCACGUGAUGGUUAGUGCUAUCAGGCCAGAGGCCCCUCGGAUCAAAUAUCCAAAUCGUAGUGGAUUAGGAACUCGCGGUAACAAGCAGAGACUCACGAAAGAUGUGACCUCGUUGCCCCGUCUCGUGGACUUGCGGCAAGGGCUAGGAAUGCCCGGCCACGCCUCGUAAUUAUCUCGCGGGCACCCUCCAGGUCAACCCGACUCCACAUCACUCGCAAUUAAGCUCGCGCGGGUACCCCUCAGGGUCGACCCGUCUUUCCAAGUAACAGUGGUAAAGUCCAAGUAUCCAUGUGUCCAAACAUUAAGGGGAAAAACCCAAGGAAUCACCCCCGGUGAAUUUCACUCAAUGUAAUCAUCAAGGUGAAUGUAAGAGGAAUCACCCCCGAGGUUCACACUUGAGGGGUUGCACGACAGAGUCAUAUCGGAAGUGGUUAAGGCGGAAUCACCCUCGAUGACCACGACCGAAUAGCUACACUACAGGGUUAACAUCAGAAGUGCUGUAGAGGUCUCACCCUCGGCACUCGAUAGUAACCCAGCAGUGUCGAGCAACUAAGGGGAAAGUGAUGUGCGGUGCCGGGGCCUGGUCUUCAAUCCCGUUGAUCGGGUCUUCAAUGAUGAAGCAGGGGCAACAAGGACAAGGUGGGGGUCACUGAUGGAUCACUAAUUAACCUAUACUAAGCAGUUUAGGAUAAGCAGGUAAGGUACAACAGCAGAUACAAAAGCAGGCUAUGCAUCAGAAUAGGUGCAAACAAUAGCAGUAGCAAAAUCUAAUGCAAGCAUGAGAGAAUGGAAUGGGCGAUAUCGGGAUGAUCAAAGGGGGGGCUUGCCUGGUUGCUCUGGCAAGGAGGGGUCGUCGUCGACGUAGUCGAUCACAGGGGCGGCAUCGGUCUCGGGGUCUACCGGAGAGAAGAGGGGGAAGAAACAGUAAAUAUAAAGCAAACAUAGCAUCACAAAGCAUAACGUGGCAAUAUGUUGUGCCGGGAGUGACCUAACGUUUGGCUACACGAUAUAGGUGAAGGGGGAAUUCAACCGGGAAUGUUUUCCCGGUUCCGGACCUGUGUCAGACAGAUGACCGGAGGGGAAAAGUUCCAUGUUCAGAUAGUUAGAGGCAUGUGACAGAUGAACGGACCGCGUAUUCGGAUUCGUUGAAUUUUUCUGAGCAACUUUCAUAUAGAAAACAUUUUCAUCCGAGUUACGGUUUAUUUUCUAUUAAAUUACAAAGAUUAAACCAUUUCUGGAUUUGUUUAUAUUAACAGAAAAAAGAAUUAUGACGUCAGCAGAGUGUCAGCAUGACAUCAGCAGGUCAACAGACUGGCUGACUGGUCAAACUGACCAGUGGGUCCCACCUGUCAUAGACAAUGGACUAACAGAACUUUAAACUAGCUAAAAAGAGGUUAAAUUAACAGCUGGGCCCCUUAUGGCAGUGGCAGAUUAGAUUACUAAUUACUUUUAACUAUAAAAACAUUUUAAUUAGCUUAAUUAAGCGGUGGGGCCCGCACGUUAGUGGCUGGGGCUGCCCAGUCAGCAGUUGAUUGGGUCAACCCGGUCAACUGGGGCCCGUGGGGCCCGCUGGCAGCCACCCUGGGGGUGGCCCCAGGUUGGCCACGUCGGCGGCCGGCGCCGGAGUUGCGCCGGCGAGCUCUCCGCGGCGGCGAGUCCACCGGAGAGGCUCGGAUCUUCCCUACAGAACACCAAAUCACGCGUUUUCACUUGCGUUCGAACGCCGACGCUGUCGCGCGUCGAGUGGUGCCACUGGACCGAUCGGAGAUGGCCGGAACAGGGAGCUGCAAGGUCGCCGGCGGCGGUGGUCUACGGUAGCUCGGCGAAAACGAAGAACUAGCGCGCUCACAAGCGAUCUAAAGCAUUAGGCCGCACCGCUGGAGUGCCCCGAGCACGAUGGUGUGCUCGGACGGCCUUGGCAUCGAUGGAAACGACGACGGCGUCGAGCGGGGCGGAUGCCGGACUUCGGUCAUCGUUGGGAUCGGGGCUGGGGUGCGUUUGCGGGCAAACCAAGCGGCUAGACGAGGCCUACGCGGUGCGGUGAGCGCGCUGGGCACUGGCCCGUGACCAUUUGGUCACCGGAGUCUUGCCGGCAACGAGAUCCGCGACGGAGAGUUCGGGCAUCUCCAAUGCGACCACUACGGUGACGGAAACGCGCGGGGAGAGAGGGAGAAGGACGACGACUGCUCACCGGGCCCUGUAGUUGUGCUCAAAUGGGCUCGGGGAGGCAUGUCGUCACCGGAAUCAUCGCCGGAGUUGAAGAUGGCCGUAGGGGAAGAAGAGGUCGUCGGGCUCGUCUCGGUGGCUUCCGGCUCCAAUGGCUUGGAUAGGACGACGCGGAGGACGACGGCGGAGCGCUACGUCAUCGGGGCGAGGCGAGAGGUUGACAGGGAGCGUGGGAUCGACGGCGCGCAGCAGCGGCUCCCUCGGUGAGGGAGGAGAAGGGUGAGGGGGAGCGAGGAGGAAUCUGGUGGGAGAGUGGCAAGUGGGCGAGUGGGAGGCGAGGAGGCCGAGGCGUCGGGGAGGCGCAAGCCUUAUCCCCUCGCCCGGGCGUCGCCGGCGAGGCGGGUCCGGCGGGGACGGCGCCCCUGUAGCGGCGCGCACCGGGGGAACAGGAAGGGGGCGCGGUGCGGGGAGCUGGGCCGGCUAGUUGAGGUGGGCCGAGGCCCAUGGGGGGGGCACGGUGGCCAGCUGGGCCAGUCGGCCCAGUUGAGGGGGGGGGGGGCUUUUCCUUUUUCUUUGUUUUUUUAAUUCCCAGCAGCAAUUUGCCUUUUCCUUUUAGCCAUUAGGACUUUGCAAAAUUAUGUCAUUGGGCAAGAUAAUUUCAAGGAAUUAUUGUGCACUGCCACAAAAAGGUUGGGAGGCUUUUGGAAUAGUUGCCAAUUUUAUAAAUUAAAAAGGCAUUUAAUUUAUUGCUUAGGCCACUGUUUUAAGUAGUUUAGGCCACUCAAACCUUUUACAAAAAUGUUGGUUCACCACCAAUAUUAACAAAUGACUAUUUGCCACCUGAUGAACAUUUAGUUUUCAUGAAAGAAGAAGCAAAUAUUUGACAUGCAAUUUGAAUUUGGCUUUGAAGCAGAUUUUGGACAAGUGGCCUUUUGGCAUGAUGAUCAUGAUGACAUGACCUUCAUUAGGGGGAGAUUACUGUAGUGUGAUGCUGGGGAUGUUACAAAUCUCCUCCACUACAAGAAAUCUCGUCCCGAGAUUUACGUGGGGAAGUAAAGAGCAACUUCGGGAGAACUGACCCUUAUAGGGUUAAUUAUCAAAUGAACAAUUCAGGGAAUGAGGUAGAAAAAUCUCUCGAGUUGAAACUUAUUAAAACAUCGAGAGCAAAGUAUGAAGGUACAAUAGGAAGUUUCAAACGAAUGGAAAAACGAUUGAUACCUGAACAGAGUGUGAGAAAGGGGUUCAGAGCAUCGGGAAUAGAUCAUCUCUCGAAAGGUGGCUCAUGACAUGAUACGAAGCCAAAUGCAAGAAUAUUUCAGAAUCAGAGAUAUACAGGAGAGUCAGGUUCCGAAGCUAUGGAACUGUGGGUUAUGGGCCCACCAUGUGGGUUAAUAGAAGAAAGGGGGCCGAUAGCAAGGCAUGUCAGAUGAUAGACUGUCAGUUAUGUUGGCAACAACGUUGGUACCAAGGGCGAGGGACGAAGAGAACCAUUUUCCUGCUCGUUGAACGAGGCGGACCAAUAGGCAAAGUUCUCGUCCAUCGGGGGUUACCAGGAUGUCGUUAGCAAUAGUAACAGGGUCACACUGACAGAGUUGUAAACCAAGGUGUUUCCAUAAGCAGGGAAUUAUUUCUGCUUAUAACAUAUAUAGAUCACAAGAAAGGUUGAGCAAACCAAUGGAAAGGAAAAUGUGUUUAUCGAAUCAAACAACCCAAAGGAAAGGAAGAUGUGUUUACUCAUAAGAGUGGGGAUUAUAUCCCUCCCAAGGGGAAGCGGAGCAGGAUAUACAUGAUAUGACAACAAGUUUAAAUAUCAUUUAGAUAAAGGGGGCGAGGGGAUAAUCAUGAUAUUACCCAUACAAUGGUGUUUGGAUAAUAGAUCAAGAAACAUUCGACAGUGUGCUUCCAAUGUUCAUGGUUGAUAUUCGGAAUACCUCAGUCAUGCUUCGAGGUAGCAUUAACCUUGUGUUACAAGUAGGGGCUGGAGUUGAAGAUCACAAGAAAUACUCCAAGAACGAUUGCAGGAAUAGCAAGGAGUCCAAGGUAUAACCAAGACAUGAUCAACAUGUGUUGGAAAGAAGAUAAGGGGGUUGUCAAUGAUAAUUCAAAUCAUUGAAGGUCAAGGAUGGUAUUUCUCACCAUGAAUUCAAUUGUCAUCUCAACAGAAGUCAAAAUGUUGAUGCUGAUCAUGACGCCUUUGUCGAGAGGCUCUAUGAAGAUGCCAUCGAACAGCAACGACAUCAAGCAAAAGGAAUGUUGAAGCAAAGGCUAUUGGAACCACGUAUACGACACAAGCUCGGAUUCAAGCUUGUUGUUCAAGGAGGAAUGAUAAGAUGAGGAAGAUUGACGUAAGCAUAGCUCGUCGUCGGAAGUUGUGCUCCAGAAGAAGGACCGGAUAGCACAGUUAAAAUUAGCUCGAUAAUGAUAUAGCCGAUCAGGCUAGGAAUGAUGUGAUGGAGUAUCAUUCCAAUGAGAAUUCACAAGAGGUAGUGCAAUGACACAAUAUCCUCGAGAUAACAGGGGGCAACACUCGAGGUAGAUCGAAAUAGAGGUUGGACAGAUGAAAAGAUCUAUAGAAGACAAGUAUUUUAACUUGUUCGAGAAAUUGAAUCAAAGGGGAACAAUCAUGGUCAGAACCACAGUUGCAAAGGACCAAACAUAGUUACCAGAUGAACUUAUAAUAGGGGAUUAUUAUUAUCACAAGAAGCUUCCAUGAUAAGUUCCACAUCGGGUCCAUGGGCAUGAACACAAAGUUCAAGGUCAACUCCCACUUCUUCAAUGCAUAACCUUUCAUUUACUUCUCGCGUUCAAUGAAGUUGUAGUGUUGAAAUGUUAUCUGGCAAAACACCAGAAGAGUAAGACUCAUUAAAAACUCUCGGGUUCAAACGGAUUAGGGGAGGCAUAGGUUCAACCCAUAGGGGCAUCUUAGGAACCUAUUCCACAAACUUCAAAAGUAAACAACACAAGCUCGAAGCAGAGCAUGGUUGACAAAAGGAGAGGAUACAAUUUACCAAAGGCUUUAUGUAUCCGAGAAAAGGCUCACAAGGUUAUUGCAUAUGAAGGAUGUUAUCGGAUAACAACCCGGCAAUGGGCCUGCCGGUCCACAAUGGAGCUAAUGUGAGUAUCGGUACUCAAUCAGAGGAAGAAAGAAUGCAAAGGCAUCGGAUUAUAGAACAUCUGAAUAAUUCGAUGCUUAGAUAACAAAGGAAUUAUGAUUUCCUAAACGAAGGAUCAGAAGCAGACGCUCUGAUCAAGGAUGGAUAUGUAGAAUAGACCUAGGGGCACAAUUGAUGACAAAUAGAUUGGUCGAGAACCAGCUCAUGUUCAAAAUGACGUCUAAGCCAAAAAGAUAUAGAAGGAUCACUGAUGAUUGUGUGCCUUCACACACAUGUUGAAUCAAUAGGAUCAAAAUGAAGGUGUCGAAGGAUACUAAUGAAUAUUGCUACACAUAUGGAAAGCAUCUAUAAUGCAAGCAGACAAGUAAUUGCAGAGCAAUAGUUUGAAGAGGAUACUCGAAAGAUCGGGUAGUGUUUCCAAGUAUUUUGAAAAGCAUAUGAACAACUCGGGAUGAGCGGACCCCGGUUAAGUGAAUUAUCCUUAGUGCAAAAGAAGCUGCAAAGCAGAAGGCACAAGGAUUCUCGGAACAACGGAGAGUGCUAGGGGUAUCUUGUAACAACAUGAGCAAUUGGGGAUGAAGGUACAAAUGGCAAGGAGGUUAUUCACGAGGAUUACCGGUGGUCAGGAACUGUACGGCAAUGUGCACAGAGUCUCGAGAAACAUCGAGGAGUAACCGCAGAAUCUUCUGGCGAAGCAAGUGAUCAUCGGUAAGGUCGGGGCUCUCCGGGAGGAAGUGGGUACGAGAAACUAAUGUCAGAGUUAGUAAAUUCGUUUAACCCGAGUAGAAGAGAGUUCAGGAGUCCCAGAGUAUAGACAAGGAGUAAAAGAUCCUAACACCACCCAAUGGCGACGUGGGCCCGUAAGACCCACAGCCAUGUUAGUAAAAGUUUUUCAGUGACUAGACUCAACUUCGGCCAAGGAGUUGGAAAGGGGGCUACCUACAGGCAGUCGGCUCUGAUACCAACUUGUGACGCCCUUGAUUCAAUCGUACACUAAUCAUACACGCAAAUGUGUACGAUCAAGAUCAAGGACUCACGGGAAGAUAUCACAACACAACUCUAGACACAAAUUAAAAUAAUACAAGCUUUAUAUUACAAGCUAGGGGCCUCGAGGGCUCGAAUACAUAAGCUCGAAAACACAAAAGUCAGCGGAAGCAACAAUAUCUGAGUACAGACAUGAGUUAAACAAGUUUGCCUUAAAAAGGCUAGCCCAAAAGCAACAUUGAUCGAAAAGGCAAGGCCUCCUGCCUAGGAGCCUCCUAACUACUCCUGGUCGUCAGCGGUCUCCGCCACGUGGUAGUAGGCGCCCUCGGGGUAGUAGCAGUCGUCAAAGGUGGCAUCUGGCUCCUGGACUCCGUCAUCUGGUUGCGUCAUCCGAGAAGAAUCGAAAAGGGGAAAAAUAGGGAGCAAAGCAACCGUGAGUACUCAUCCAAAGUACUCGCAAGCAAGGAUCUACACUACAGAUGCAACAUUAUCAAAGGAAGGCUGUCUAUGUGGACUGGGCUGCAGAAAUGCCAGAAUAGAGAGAAGGCCUAGUCCUAUCGAAGACUAACAUCUUCUGGAAACCACCAUCUUGCAGCAACAGGAGGGAGUAGAGUAGCAUAAAGUAAGGUAGUAGUAGUGUUAUCAACCUCGGCCAGAGAUCCUUUCUCGACUCCCUGCGAGAAAGCAAUCCCAGAGCCAUACUAUCCAAUUGUCAUCACAAUCCAAUUCUCAUCAACAUCCAAUUCUCAUCACAAGUAUCCAGUUCUAGUUGUAUCGAUCGGGAUACAACUCCAAGUGUCCGUUACCGUAGGACAGGCUAUCGAUAGAUGUUUUCUUCCCUGCAGGGGUGCACCAACUUACCCACCACGCUCGCUUAACUCCGGCCGGACACACUUUCCAGGGUCAUGCCCGGCCUCGGCCAAACAAUACGCCGCAACCCGACCUAGACUUAACAGAGAGGUCAGCACGCCGGACUAAACCUAUGCCCCCAGGGGUCAUGGGCCAUCUCCCCGGAAACUCCUGCACGUUGCGUACGCGGCCGGUGAGCAAACCUAGCUACCUCCUUCAACAAGGCAGGCGCUUACGUAGUCCAACCUGGCGCGCGCCACUCAGUCGCUAACGUCUAUUAAGCUUCGGCUGAUGUAUACGACGCAGAACGCCCAUACUAUGCCCACGUGAUGGUUAGUGCUAUCAGGCCAGAGGCCCCUCGGAUCAAAUAUCCAAAUCGUAGUGGAUUAGGAACUCGCGGUAACAAGCAGAGACUCACGAAAGAUGUGACCUCGUUGCCCCGUCUCGAGGACUUGCGGCAAGGGCUAGGAAUGCCCGGCCACGCCUCGUAAUUAUCUCGCGGGCACCCUCCAGGUCAACCCGACUCCACAUCACUCUCAAUUAAGCUCGCGCGGGUACCCCUCAGGGUCGACCCGUCUUUCCAAGUAACAGUGGUAAAGUCCAAGUAUCCGUGUGUCCAAACAUUAAGGGGAAAAACCCAAGGAAUCACCCCCGGUGAAUUUCACUCAAUGUAAUCAUCAAGGUGAAUGUAAGAGGAAUCACCCCCGAGGUUCACACUUGAGGGGUUGCACGACAGAGUCAUAUCGGAAGUGGUUAAGGCAGAAUCACCCUCGAUGACCACGACCGAAUAGCUACACUACAGGGUUAACAUCAGAAGUGCUGUAGAGGUCUCACCCUCGGCACUCGAUAGUAACCCAGCAGUGUCGAGCAACUAAGGGGAAAGUGAUGUGCGGUGCCGGGGCCUGGUCUUCAAUCCCGUUGAUCGGGUCUUCAAUGAUGAAGCAGGGGCAACAAGGACAAGGUGGGGGGUCACUGAUGGAUCACUAAUCAACCUAUACUAAGCAGUUUAGGAUAAGCAGGUAAGGUACAACAGCAGAUACAAAAGCAGGCUAUGCAUCAGAAUAGGUGCAAACAAUAGCAGUAGCAAAAUCUAAUGCAAGCAUGAGAGAAUGGAAUGGGCGAUAUCGGGAUGAUCAAAGGGGGGGCUUGCCUGGUUGCUCUGGCAAGGAGGGGUCGUCGUCGACGUAGUCGAUCACAGGGGCGGCAUCGGUCUCGGGGUCUACCGGAGAGAAGAGGGGGAAGAAACAGUAAAUAUAAAGCAAACAUAGCAUCACAAAGCAUAACGUGGCAAUAUGUUGUGCCGGGAGUGACCUAACGUAUGGCUACACGAUAUAGGUGAAGGGGGAAUUCAACCGGGAAUGUUUUCCCGGUUCCGGACCUGUGUCAGACAGAUGACCGGAGGGGAAAAGUUCCAUGUUCAGAUAGUUAGAGGCAUGUGACAGAUGAACGGACCGCGUAUUCGGAUUCGUUGAAUUUUUCUGAGCAACUUUCAUAUAGAAAACAUUUUCAUCCGAGUUACGGUUUAUUUUCUAUUAAAUUACAAAGAUUAAACCAUUUCUGGAUUUAUUUAUAUUAACAGAAAAAAGAAUUAUGACGUCAGCAGAGUGUCAGCAUGACAUCAGCAGGUCAACAGACUGGCUGACUGGUCAAACUGACCAGUGGGUCCCACCUGUCAUAGACAAUGGGCUAACAGAACUUUAAACUAGCUAAAAAGAGGUUAAAUUAACAGCUGGGCCCCUUAUGGCAGUGGCAGAUUAGAUUACUAAUUACUUUUAACUAUAAAAACAUUUUAAUUAGCUUAAUUAAGCGGUGGGGCCCGCACGUUAGUGGCUGGGGCUGCCCAGUCAGCAGUUGAUUGGGUCAACCCGGUCAACUGGGGCCCGUGGGGCCCGCUGGCAGCCACCCUGGGGGUGGCCCCAGGUCGGCCAUGUCGGCGGCCGGUGCCGGAGUUGCACCGGCGAGCUCUCCGCGGCGGCGAGUCCGCCGGAGAGGCUCGGAUCAUCGCUACAGAACACCAAAUCACGCGUUUUCACUUGCGUUCGAACGCUGACGCUGUCGCGCGUCGAGUGGUGCCACUGGACCGACCGGAGAUGGCCGGAACAGGGAGCUGCAAGGUCGCCGGCGGCGGUGGUCUACGGUAGCUCGGCGAAAACGAAGAACUAGCGCGCUCACAAGCGAUCUAAAGCGUUAGGCCGCACCGCUGGAGUGCCCCGAGCACGAUGGUGUGCUCGGACGGCCUUGGCAUCGAUGGAAACGACGACGGCGUCGAGCGGGGCGGAUGUCGGACUUCGGUCAUCGUUGGGAUCGGGGCUGGGGUGCGUUUGCGGGCAAACCAAGCGGCUAGACGAGGCCUACGCGGUGCGGUGAGCGCGCUGGGCACUGGCCCGUGACCAUUUGGUCACCGGAGUCUUGCCGGCGUCGAGAUCCGCGACGGAGAGUUCGGGCAUCUCCAAUGCGACCACUACGGUGACGGAAACACGCGGGGAGAGAGGGAGAAGGACGACGACUGCUCACCGGGCCCUGUAGUUGUGCUCAAAUGGGCUCGGGGAGGCAUGUCGUCACCGGAAUCAUCGCCGGAGUUGAAGAUGGCCGUAGGGGAAGAAGAGGUCGUCGGGCUCGUCUCGGUGGCUUCCGGCUCCAAUGGCUUGGAUAGGACGACGCAGAGGACGACGGCGGAGCGCUACGUCAUCGGGGCGAGGCGAGAGGUUGACAGGGAGCGUGGGAUCGACGGCGCGCGGCAGCGGCUCCCUCGGUGAGGGAGGAGAAGGGUGAGGGGGAGCGAGGAGGAAUCUGGUGGGAGAGUGGCAAGUGGGCGAGUGGGAGGCGAGGAGGCCGAGGCGUCGGGGAGGCGCAAGCCUUAUCCCCUCGCCCGGGCGUCGCCGGUGAGGCGGGUCCGGCGGGGACGGCGCCCCUGUAGCGGCGCGCACCAGUCGGCCCAGUUGAGGGGGGGGGCUUUUCCUUUUUCUUUGUUUUUUUUAAUUCCCAGCAGCAAUUUGCCUUUUCCUUUUAGCCAUUAGGACUUUGCAAAAUUAUGUCAUUGGGCAAGAUAAUUUCAAGGAAUUAUUGUGCACUGCCACAAAAAGGUUGGGAGGCUUUUGGAAUAGUUGCCAAUUUUAUAAAUUAAAAAGGCAUUUAAUUUAUUGCUUAGGUCACUGUUUUAAGUAGUUUAGGCCACUCAAACCUUUUACAAAAAUGUUGGUUCACCACCAAUAUUAACAAAUGAUUAUUUGCCACCUGAUGAACAUUUAGUUUUCAUGAAAGAAGAAGCAAAUAUUUGACAUGCAAUUUGAAUUUGACUUUGAAGCAGAUUUUGGACAAGUGGCCUUUUGGCAUGAUGAUCAUGAUGACAUGACCUUCAUUAGGGGGAGAUUACUGUAGUGUGAUGCUGGGGAUGUUACAGUGGCUUGGCUGCAAAUCCGAUUCGCCCAAGUCUGUAAACAAAUCCUAACCGAGUGGUGAGCCAGUCUCCCACACGAAGGCUUAGCUGCGAAAUCCGUUUCGCCUAAGAUAAACAAAAUCCUACCGAGUGAUAAGCCAGUCUUCCACUCGGAGGCUUAGCCGCAGUCCAAGUACUCGCCUAAGAUAAACAAAAUCCUGUCGAGUGGUAAGUCAGCCUUCCACUCGGAGGCUUAGCUGCAGUCCAAGUACUCGCCUAAGAUAAACAAAAUCCUGUCGAGUGGUAAGUCAGCCUUCCACUCGGAGGCUUAGCUGCAGUCCAAGUACUCGCCUAAGAUAAACAAAAUCCUGUCGAGUGGUAAGCCAGCCUUCCACUCGAAGGCUUAGCUGCAGUCCAAGUACUCGCCUAAGAUAAACAAAAUCCUACCGAGUGGUAAGCCAGCCUUCCACUCGGAGGCUUAGCUGCAGCAUUGCGCUCGCCUAAGUACAAAUACAACAUGCGCUCUGCAAGGAGGACGAGGUGCAGGUCGACUGCUACCCUCUCCUUUCGAGCUACGCCACAAGUACAACGUGCGCUCUGCAAGGAGUACGAGGUGCAGAUCGACUGCUACCCUCUCCUUCCGAGCUACACCACAAGUACAACGUGCGCUCUGUAAGGAGGACGAGGUGCAGGUCGACUGCUACCCUCUCCUUCCGAGCUACGCCACAAAUACNNNNNNNNNNNNNNNNNNNNNNNNNNNNNNNNNNNNNNNNNNNNNNNNNNNNNNNNNNNNNNNNNNNNNNNNNNNNNNNNNNNNNNNNNNNNNNNNNNNNNNNNNNNNNNNNNNNNNNNNNNNNNNNNNNNNNNNNNNNNNNNNNNNNNNNNNNNNNNNNNNNNNNNNNNNNNNNNNNNNNNNNNNNNNNNNNNNNNNNNNNNNNNNNNNNNNNNNNNNNNNNNNNNNNNNNNNNNNNNNNNNNNNNNNNNNNNNNNNNNNNNNNNNNNNNNNNNNNNNNNNNNNNNNNNNNNNNNNNNNNNNNNNNNNNNNNNNNNNNNNNNNNNNNNNNNNNNNNNNNNNNNNNNNNNNNNNNNNNNNNNNNNNNNNNNNNNNNNNNNNNNNNNNNNNNNNNNNNNNNNNNNNNNNNNNNNNNNNNNNNNNNNNNNNNNNNNNNNNNNNNNNNNNNNNNNNNNNNNNNNNNNNNNNNNNNNNNNNNNNNNNNNNNNNNNNNNNNNNNNNNNNNNNNNNNNNNNNNNNNNNNNNNNNNNNNNNNNNNNNNNNNNNNNNNNNNNUAUCUGAAAUCCUAUUGAGUGGAGAGCAGACCUCCCACUCGGAGGCUUAGCUGCAGCCCAGUGCCGGCUUAAGUAUCUGAAAUCCUACCAAGUGGAGAGCAGACCUCCCACUCGGGGGCUUAGCUGCAGCCCAGUGCUCGCCUAAGUUUUUGAAAAUCCUACCGAGUGGAGAGCAAACCUCUCACUCGGGGGCUUAGCUGCAGCCCAGUGCUCGCCUAAGUUUUUGAAAAUCCUACCGAGUGGAGAGCAAACCUCUCACUCGGGGGCUUAGCUGCAGCCCAGUGCUCGCCUAAGGGUAUUGGGGAACAAGUCGAUUGCAAUGAACGCUUCGCUUUAACCUGCAAAAGACACCUCAAACCAAAUGCAAACAUAUUCAACGUUGAAUCCAAGUUCGGAUAACACCUAACGGAACCGAAAGUGCUCAGGUGCUAGGCCUGUUAAGGUUUGUCGGUUACAAAAUUCACUCGGCAUACCGAGGCAAAUUUAAAGUAUCAAACUCAGAAGUUCUUUUACCCCUCCUGUGGAGGGCUGGAAGGUGCGACAAACUCGUCCAGGUCGAUUCCAUCUGCAAUUCGAGUGGCGCCGGCGAUGAAGGUCUCCAUGAAGGAUCAAAAAUCGUGCUUCUUGGUGUUAGCCACCCUAAGGGCCACCAGCUUGUCCUCUCGCGCAUCCUUGCCAUGAACACGGACCAGAGACAGAGCAACAUCCGCACCACACCUGGCCGAGGACUUCUUCCACUCUUGCACUCGACUUGGGACCUCGUUCAGUCAAGUCAUCAGAGACUCGAGGUCGUUCUGGAGUGUCUCUCUUGGCCAGAGUGUUGUGUCAAUGCGAGAAGUUGCGACUUUAGGCCUUGCGAGAUAGUCGAUGACAGCAGCAACACGAGAUUCAAGCCGGAGCACGUUCAUGGCGACUUCAUCUUUCACGGGAGAGUUGAUGGGGUCCAGGUUUACUUACAGUCGACCAGUCUCCUCUUCAAAGUUCUGGCAAAAUUCUGCAAGCACAACCACCGAGUCAAGACAACAGUCGGAGAUUGCAGUUAAAAUAUUUGUUUGAUACAAAAGAUUACCUUCAAGCAUGAGGAACAACUUCUUGGCGAGUCCACCCAGAUAAGCCUCCAGAUCGUUCUUCUUUCUCACCAACUCACUGGCCUUGUCAUUCAGGGUGGUCUUGUCACUUUUCAGUCGACUGACCUCCUGGUUGGCAGCAUCAAGAGCAGCUUUCAGAUUGGUGUUUUCUUCUUCAAGCUUGGUCACUGAAGCUAGCUUCUCAUCUGCAAGCUUGGUCUUCUCUAAAGCAGUUUUUUACAUCUCAGCCAAGUCAAGUUCUUGCUUCCUCCUUUGCCUUCGUCAAGUUCUCUUGGGCCAGUUUCAGAUCGAGCUCGAGCUGAAUGUGUUUGUUCUCCAACUCAGUAUAACGAGCCGCAAGGUCACAGGAUUUCUACGAAGAACCAAUCGACAGAUGUCAAAGACAAUUCACUUCCGAGUGAGUAAGGAAAAAUCAUAGCGUUUCUAAGACUACGGCCGAAUACAAAUAUUCGACCAUAGUCUCGGGGACUACACCCAGUGGGUGCACUCAGCGUGCCCCCACUAGAGUCGACCAGUCGACCAACAAAAAAACGGAGAUGUUCUUCAGACUAUAGUCGACUGCCAGCAGUCGACCACAGUCUCGGGGACUACACCCAGUGGGUGCACUCAGCGUGCCCCCACCGGUCUAUGAAUCUAUUCGACCUAGUCGAGUAAGGAAAAAACUUAAGACAUAAAGCCUAUGGUCGACUGCCAGCAGUCGACCAUAGCCUUGAGGACUACACCCAGUGGAUGCACUCAGCGUGCCCCCACUAAUCCGGAAUUUCAAUCGACAGACCCAGUGGGUGUAGGACAAACUCUAAGAAUUUCAGAAGGAAGAAUUUUCAGAUAUCAUAUCCUAACAGAACAGGCAGUGACCGACUGACCUGAACAUUACUCUGAAGAGCCGAACUGGCGUCAUAGGCUGCCUGGCUGGCUUCUCGUAUUGCCUUCACUUGCUCCAUCAUGACCCCCGCUUGGCGUAUUGCUUCCUUAGCAGCACUAGCUUGGUCUUCUGGAACGGGGUAGGUUGAGAAAAGCGAGGGUUGAGCAGCACUCGACGACGAAGGGCGAGCACUCGUCAACGGCACCGCAAAGGUUACGGUAGGCCGAGUGACAUUGUCUCCCUCCACGACCAACAUCUCGGGUGCUGGCACAUCCUGAGUCGCCUUGCCAGCAGAUGCUUUCUUGCUCCUCCUCUGCCUUGGUGGUUCCUCAUCGUCGUCGUCGGGAAGGUCAAUAACAAUGUUAGAUGAAGCUGCAGAAAGAAUCAAAAUUAGAGACAAUAAGUCAGUCGACUGAAAACGGCAUCACAAGAGUCAUACCAGGUUUUGAGGUAGCAGCAUCCUCCAUCUCGUGGUCUUCAGCCCUGGCCGAAGUAUCAGAAGUAGCAGCACUGCAGUUCCAGAAGUCAGUCGAUUGGCCCAUGAGUCGACCAAGAACAAGUUCAUGAAAUGGGGAAAACUCAAGACUACCAUUACCCUGAGAUAGUGGGGAUCACCAUCUUCAUCUUCGGCAAGACCUUCGCAGGUUUCGACGGUGCCACUCGAGAUUGCUUCGGAGCCUUCUCAGUCGGCGCCGGAGAAGUAGUCCGAGGGCGCUUGGUCGACUGUGUACCGGUUGCGACCCCCUUACCACGCUCAGUCGCGGGAUCAUGGACAAGUUUCGAGCGUCUUUCCGAGCGGGGAGGUGCAACUUCCUCCUCCUCCUCCUCCUCUUCCUCCUCAUCAGAGUCAUCACCCUCAUCAUCGUCGUCAGCAUCCGAAUCCCACUCCUCUGGGCUUUCGCCCCCACUUCCUUCCUCCUCUUCAGUCGGCGUCUGCGCUCCAUUGGGCAUCGAGUAUAACUCGGUGGUGGCCUAUCAGACAACAAAACAAAACAAAGAUCAAUCGACCAAUUCGCAGCAAAGCAGAAUGAAUACAACAAGAUUACAAUUGGAGAUAAGUGGUCAUACCGUGUCCGGUGUAUAGGUACAGUCGAGUGGUGGGAUCCUCCUAGCCCCUCGAGGGUUGUCCUUAUUCCCUGUGAUGGCUGCCACCCACCUCUCCAGUGUGGCGUCGCUGACCGCUUCUGGAUGGACCCGAGUGGUGUCUUCGGUACCACAGUACAGCCACAUCGGGUGGCCUCGGUACUGAAGCGGUUGGACGCGUUGUCUAAGGAAGACCUCCAGAAGAUCCAUACCCGUCACCCCGUCCCUAACAAGUUGGACUACGCGCUCCAUCAACAAUUUCACCUGAGCUUUCUCCUCAGGAAGCACCCUCAGAGAAGAGGGUUUGUCCACUCGGUUCAUGGAGAACAGAGGGAGACCAGUCGACUGCCCCGACGUCGACUCGUCUUGGCAGUAGAACCAAGUCGACUGCCACCCUCUGACCGACUCGACUCGGGAAGGGUCAUGGCCGGGAAAGUACUCUUAUUCCUCAUUUGAAUCCCAAGACCACCGCACAUCUGGAUAACCUUAGUCCUCUCAUCUUCCGGACUCGCCUUUUUCACUGUCUGUGAGCGACAGGUGAAUAUGUGCUUAAAGAGACCCCAAUGUGGUCGACAACCCAGGAUGUUCUCGCACAUGGACACAAAGGCAGCAAGAUAGGUGAUAGAAUUGGGGGGUGAAAUGGUGAAGUUGCGCCCCAAAGAAAUUCAGAAACCCACGGAAGAAAACACUCGGCGGCAGAGAAAAACCACGGUCAACAUGAGUGGCUAGGAGAACGCACUCACCGUCCUGCGGCUGCGGUUGACACUCGGUCCCCGGGAGCCUUGCUGACCCAUGGGGGAUCAGUCCCUCAUUGUCCAGGUCGUUGAGAUCCGUCUCGGUGAUGGUCGAGCGGAUCCAAUCCCCUUGGACCCAACCUUUUGGCAGGCGGGACCUUGACGAAGAUCCGCCCCGACUGGACGGCCUCCCCUUCGCUUUCCCCGUCGCCAUCGCCUUCUUCGCGCGCUCUAAGGCCGCCGUCUUCUCCUUCACCAUUGUCGCCGGUGAAACACGCGAGGAGUGGAUAGGCGGAGGCGAGAGCAGGCGCAGCGGGCGGAGGCAAAGAGGGCGGAGAGAAGAAUGGGAAGGCACUGUUCAAAAAACCCUCGCCCGGCGCUUUAUAUAAGGGCACUUCCGAGUGGCUGACGAGUGGGUCCGGGCGGUCCUGUCACAUCCCGAAACAGUCGCGCACGCACGAUACGUGGCGAAAAAGGCGGCGCAGAAAUCGAGGCGUCCACGCCUUAUCCCUUCCAAGUACCGCGGUCCACCCCGUUUCGCGCGCUUCCCAAAAUUCGGAUCCCGUAAAAUCCGCUAACGGCAGAUCAAUCUGUCAGACGAUAUCUUUCCUACGAUCCGUCGCUCGGGAGUUCACUGAAGUUCAAAAGUUCACUCGACGGAAGACAAGAAUGGAUCAAGGCGACUGAAGUAAAAGUUGAAGCCAACGCAGAAAGAGAAAUCACCGAUCCAGGAUACGACAUAAUCAAAGCACGGGAGAUAGGUCGGAGAAAAUCAUCAACUCCUUCCUCACUCGAACCUCGAUCCAUUCGGGGGCUAAUGAUGAUGUUAUGUACCUAGGGUAGGGUCAUGGACCUAUCUAGGAUACCAUACACAAGGACAUCCUUAGACGAAGCUACCUUCCAGUCGACCAAGAGGGACUCCACUCGACCGGCUAGAAGACACUCGACCAUGAAGACUCACUCGACCACCAGGAGUUUAGGAUCUACUCUGUAUCCAAACGGUCUGUAAUUAAGUAGUCUUAAUGGUCAUGAUGACACUUUAUGUAUGGCGUUACCAGUAACGCCCAGCCUUAAUGUACUUUAACCCUCUGCUACGUGGGUUGGCUGGGGUCCUGGCGUCCUCUAUCUAAGCCACCCCCUCCACUGGUAGAAGGGUUCGCACCCCUGUAACUCAUAUACACAUAAACCAGUCGACCGCCUCCAGGCUCCGAGACGUAGGGAUAUUACUUCCUCAGAGAAGGGCCUGAACUCGUUAAACACUCGUGUGUACAACUACUCCAUAGCUAGGAUCUUGCCUCUCCAUACCUACCCCCCAUCCUACUGUCAGACUUAGAACCACGACAGGAGGUCCUUCGAAAUGCUUACCUGUUGAACUAUAUCAGACAUAACUUUUUGGUUUUAAGUGUAUUUGUCUAGCUGAUACUUACUCCGUGACCUUAAUUAUAUUAUUAUUUUUGGCUAGACACAGCUCAAGAAGUUUGUUUUACUGAGAGUGCUCGUCAGGGUUCCCAUCCAAGAAAGAGACCAAUGACAGAACAGAUGGAGGACUGUCUAGCUACAAAGAAGCAACUGACAGCUGGGGAUAAUGGUGAAGCAAGUACGCUAAUAUGCAUGUUUUUGCUCCUUAUAUAAUUUUAUUAGCAUAUUACAACAGCUAGUACUAUGACAUUAUCAUUAGAUGCGUCAAUAUGCUAAUAACUGUAGCAUGAAAUGCACUGUUGCUUUGUAUAAAUCUUGAUGGGUUAUGUAGGCCCAUUCCUAUUUACAUCAAUAAGACAAUUGCAGAUUGUUGUGUCCACUUUACUUGAUAAGAUGCUUGAGAUUUCUAGUAGUUUAGUAUGAACAAAAUGUUGACUACCACUCUUUAUUUUCUCUAAUAGCAAUUGUGGUUUCCAACAUCGCCUAAAAAUGCUAUUAGCAUGAUGGAUUAUUUUCAAGCUUGGUUCGAAAUAUUUUGAUGAAACACCGUAGGUUUUUUUGUCUUCAUCCUUGCAGUUGUCAAGCCGUAGGCAUGGAGUUGCCAAAGUAGCUUAAUACUGUACAAAAUAUUUCUGUAAGUCUGUUUGAAUUAACGGGUGAAUGUUUGGCUGAUUGCAGGUGUCAAAGCUCAGUCGUCCUCGACAGUCUGAUAGUGUGCUUUUGACCGGACAAAGCGAUGCUGUUGGAACACGAUGUUGUUUUGAUCCAUUUCUUGCUUUGGUUCUGUAGUUACCUGCUUCAUCCAGGCUUGGAAGCCUCCUACAACAUUUGAGUUCAUGCAAUUUAUGCCACUCUGUUAGUAUUACUGAUUCGAGAUACAGUACAAAGUAAUCCCGGUGAGAACUUAUGCAAUCAUGCCACAGAUUAGCCUUGAUCCAUUCUCAUUGCCCGUCAGAUAAUCGACAUUGUGUACUUUUCCCCAUCGAGGAAUGAGUAGGCUAUCUUUUUGAUAAAAGGCGCAAGAGGUGCCUGGCUUUAUAAAUUAAUAAAGCGACCAAGGCUAACAUCGUCU
Molecule: long non-coding RNA, 26416 nt
Filed under: Triticum aestivum (bread wheat)
Lineage: Eukaryota; Viridiplantae; Streptophyta; Magnoliopsida; Poales; Poaceae
Description: long non-coding RNA (TAES_LNC004913)
Source: RNAcentral